UACGUAGGGGGCGAGCGUUGUCCGGAUUUAUUGGGCAUAAAGGGCGCGUAGGCGGUUUCUUAAGUUUGAAGUGACAGUGGGUGGCUUAACUACCCAAGGCCUUUGAAAACUGGGGAACUUGAGGACCAGAGAGGGACAUAGAAUUCCGGGUGGAGUGGUGAAAUGCGUAGAUAUCCGGAGGAAUACCAAAGGCGAAGGCAGUGUCCUGGAGGGUGACUGACGCUGAGGCGCGAAAGCUAGGGGAGCGAACAGG
RNAcentral lists this ribosomal RNA (253 nucleotides) under uncultured bacterium. RNAcentral's name for it is "partial 16S ribosomal RNA". It matches the Rfam family "Bacterial small subunit ribosomal RNA", at positions 524 to 776 of the family's 1533-position model. The record is from RNAcentral.